GAGCCCACACCCACGCGAUCCGCGUCGGGUGGGUUGGUCUCCGGC
RNAcentral lists this unclassified non-coding RNA (45 nucleotides) under Azorhizobium caulinodans ORS 571. Lineage: Bacteria; Pseudomonadati; Pseudomonadota; Alphaproteobacteria; Hyphomicrobiales; Xanthobacteraceae. The record is from RNAcentral.